CGCCCGCCGCGCGCGGCGGGCGGGGCGGGGGCACGGGGGGUAAGCCAUGCGAGUCGAACGAGUUUAGGCUCGUGGCGUACGGCUCAGUAACACGUGGAUAAUCUACCCUUAGGACCGGGAUAACCCUGGGAAACUGGGGAUAAUACUGGAUAGGCAAUUAUUCCUGUAAUGGUUUUUUGUUUAAAUGUUUUUUCGCCUAAGGAUGAGUCUGCGGCCGAUUAGGUAGUUGGCUAGGUAAUGGCUUACCAAGCCGUUGAUCGGUACGGGUUGUGAGAGCAAGAGCCCGGAGAUGGAACCUGAGACAAGGUUCCAGGCCCUACGGGGUGCAGCAGGCGCGAAACCUCCGCAAUGUGAGAAAUCGCGACGGGGGGAUCCCAAGUGCCAUUCUUAACGGGAUGGCUUUUCAUUAGUGUAAAGAGCUUUUGGAAUAAGAGCUGGGCAAGACCGGUGCCAGCCACCGCGGUAACACCGGCAGCUCUAGUGGUAACAAUUUUUAUUGGGCCUAAAGCGUCCGUAGCCGGUUUAAUAAGUCUCUGGUGAAAUCCUGCAGCUUAACUGUGGGAAUUGCUGGAGAUACUAUUAGACUUGAGACCGGGAGAGGUUAGAGGUACUCCCAGGGUAGAGGUGAAAUUCUGUAAUCCUGGGAGGACCGCCUGUUGCGAAGGCGUCUAACUGGAACGGUUCUGACGGUGAGGGACGAAAGUUAGGGGCGCGAACCGGAUUAGAUACCCGGGUAGUCCUAACUGUAAACGAUGCGGACUUGGUGUUGGGGUGGCUUUGAGCUGCUUCAGUGCCGAAGGGAAGCUGUUAAGUCCGCCGCCUGGGAAGUACGGUCGCAAGACUG
RNAcentral lists this ribosomal RNA (844 nucleotides) under uncultured archaeon. RNAcentral describes it as "bacterial SSU rRNA". It matches the Rfam family "Archaeal small subunit ribosomal RNA", at positions 1 to 851 of the family's 1478-position model. The record is from RNAcentral.